CCUUUGCUUAACCGCUGGGGCCGCAGGUCGCAGUGACUAAGGGGUCCCGACUGUUUAACAAAAACACAGGGAACCGCAAGUCCGAAAGGAUGUGAACGGUCCCUGAAUCCUGGCCAGCACCGGUACCUGAAACCCGCGUUCAAGUGGGCUAAGGGUCGGUUAGCGCCGGGAGUAACUCUGACUCUCUUAAGGUAGCCAAAUGCCUUGUCGUGUAAGUUACGACGUGCUUGAAUGGACCAACGAGGGCCCUCCUGUCCCCACCUGGUGCCCGGUGAAGCCACAUAACGUGGGCGAACAGUCCACGAUCGCCCAACGGGGAGAGAAGACCCUAUGGAGGUUUACUGCAGCCUGUCGCUGAGAUACGGUCGAAGGCACAAAGCGUAGGUGGGAGCCGUUAAUCCCAGCUUCUCCGGGAGUUGGGGUAGGCGACAAUGCCACACCACCUGCCUUCGGUUGCAUCCCUUACUGGACAAGUGUCCAGGACAACGAUAGCUGGGCAGUUCGGCUGGGGCGGCACCCCCUUGAAAAGAUAUCGAGGGGGCCCAAAGGUCGGCUUAGGCGGGACAGAAACCUGCCGUGAAGUGCAAGGGCAAAAGCCGGCUUGACUGGAUUCUCACCAGCAAGGAAUCCAGAGGCGAAAGCCAGGCCUAGCGAACCUUAAGUACCAACCGUUGAGGGCUUAAGAUGACAGAAAACUUACCCUAGGGAUAACAGGCUUGUUGCGGGCGAGAGUUCCCAUCGACCUCGCAGCUUGGUACCUCGAUGUCGGCUCUUCCUAUCCUGGUUGUGCAGUAGCAGCCAAGGGUGGGCCUGUUCGGCCAUUAAAAGGGAACGUGAGCUGGGUUCAGACCGGCGUGAGCCAGAUCAGUUUCUACCUGUUGGGUGUGUAGGUUGCCUGAGAGUAGGGUGUUCCAAGUACGAGAGGAACGGAGUGUCGCGGCCUAUGGUUUACCGGUUGUCCUACAGGGCAGCGCCGGGCAGCUACGCCGCCGCGGAUAAGAGCUGAAAGCAUCUAAGCUCGAAGCCGCCCUCGAAAAUAGGCAACCAACUUCCGGCGCAGAGCCUGGCAACAGGUUCAUGCUGGAAGCGAGAGCUCCCGUAGAAGACGGGUUUGAUGGAGUAGAGGUGUACGCGCCAAGACUUCGGUCGAGGCGUUCAGCCUGCUACCCCCAACCGCUCGAGUCGCUGGUAAU
RNAcentral lists this ribosomal RNA (1193 nucleotides) under Aigarchaeota archaeon. Its description in RNAcentral is "partial 23S ribosomal RNA". It matches the Rfam family "Archaeal large subunit ribosomal RNA", at positions 1855 to 2987 of the family's 2987-position model. The record is from RNAcentral. Lineage: Archaea; Thermoproteati; Nitrososphaerota.